CCUACGGGCGACAGCAGUGGGGAAUAUUGGGCAAUGGGCGCAAGCCUGACCCAGCAACGCCGCGUGAAGGAAGAAGGCUUUCGGGUUGUAAACUUCUUUUGUCAGGGACGAAGCAAGUGACGGUACCUGACGAAUAAGCCACGGCUAACUACGUGCCAGCGGCCGCGGUAAUACGUAGGUGGCAAGCGUUAUCCGGAUUUAUUGGGUGUAAAGGGCGUGUAGGCGGGAAUGCAAGUCAGAUGUGAAAACUAUUGGCUCAACCCAUAGCCUGCAUUUUAAACUGUAUUUCUUGAGUGCUGGAGAGGCAAUCGGAAUUCCGUGUGUAGCGGUGAAAUGCGUAGAUAUACGGAGGAACACCAGUGGCGAAGGCGGAUUGCUGGACAGUAACUGACGCUGAGGCGCGAAAGCGUGGGGAGCAAACAGGAUUAGAUACCCGUGUAGUC
RNAcentral lists this ribosomal RNA (443 nucleotides) under uncultured bacterium. RNAcentral describes it as "partial 16S ribosomal RNA". It matches the Rfam family "Bacterial small subunit ribosomal RNA", at positions 338 to 795 of the family's 1533-position model. The record is from RNAcentral.